GGGAUUGUGGCUCAGUGGUAGAGCGCUCACCUAACACGUGGGAAGCCCUGGGUUCGAUCCUCAGCACACAUA
This is a non-coding RNA of Ictidomys tridecemlineatus (thirteen-lined ground squirrel), 72 nucleotides long. The record is from Rfam. Lineage: Eukaryota; Metazoa; Chordata; Mammalia; Rodentia; Sciuridae.